AUUGAACGCUGGCGGCAUGCUUUACACAUGCAAGUCGAACGGUAACAGGCCUUCGGGUGCUGACGAGUGGCGAACGGGUGCGUAAUGCAUCGGAACGUACCCAGAGGUGGGGGAUAACGCAGCGAAAGCUGUGCUAAUACCGCAUGUGAUCUGAGGAUGAAAGCGGGGGACCGAGCAGCAAUGUUUGGCCUCGCGCCUUUGGAGCGGCCGAUGUCGGAUUAGCUAGUUGGUUGGGUAAAGGCCUACCAAGGCGACGAUCCGUAGCUGGUCUGAGAGGACGACCAGCCACACUGGGACUGAGACACGGCCCAGACUCCUACGGGAGGCAGCAGUGGGGAAUUUUGGACAAUGGGCGCAAGCCUGAUCCAGCAAUGCCGCGUGCGGGAAGAAGGCCUUCGGGUUGUAAACCGCUUUUGGCAGGAACGAAACGGUGUCCGCUAAUACCGGGCGCUAAUGACGGUACCUGCAGAAUAAGCACCGGCUAACUACGUG
Molecule: ribosomal RNA, 492 nt
Filed under: uncultured bacterium
Lineage: Bacteria
Description: partial 16S ribosomal RNA
Rfam family: Bacterial small subunit ribosomal RNA
Source: RNAcentral